GGGUGAAAGGCCCCCUCGCCGUAAGCCCAAGGUUUCCUACGCAACGUUCAUCGGCGUAGGGUGAGUCGGCCCCUAAGGCGAGGCAGAAAUGCGUAGCUGAUGGGAAGCAGGUCAAUAUUCCUGCACCAUUGUUAGAUGCGAUGGGGGGACGGAUCGCGGAAGGUUGUCCGGGUGUUGGAAGUCCCGGUCGCUGCAUUGGAGAAGGCGCUUAGGCAAAUCCGGGCGC
This 226-nucleotide ribosomal RNA is filed under the name Burkholderia sp. Bp8963. RNAcentral describes it as "partial 23S ribosomal RNA". It matches the Rfam family "Bacterial large subunit ribosomal RNA", at positions 1319 to 1549 of the family's 2925-position model. Lineage: Bacteria; Pseudomonadati; Pseudomonadota; Betaproteobacteria; Burkholderiales; Burkholderiaceae. The record is from RNAcentral.